This is a non-coding RNA of Acanthosepion pharaonis, 114 nucleotides long. NCBI's taxonomy places the organism in Eukaryota, Metazoa, Mollusca, Cephalopoda, Sepiida, Sepiidae. The record is from the annotation of a GenBank genome assembly.
UUACGGUCAUAUCCCGUUGAAACACCGCUUCUCGUUCGAUCACUGAAGUUAAGCAGCAUCGAUCCUGUUAAGUAUCUAGAUGGGUGGCCAAUUGGGAAUAUCAAGUGCUGUAAG